GCAAACUUGGUCAUUUAGAGGAAGUAAAAGUCGUAACAAGGUCUCCGUAGGUGAACCUGCGGAGGGAUCAUUACCGAGUGCGCGGGCUUCGGCCCCGACCUCCCAACCCUUUGAUUUGAUCAAGACCUCGUUUUUGCCUCGGGGGUGACCCGGCCCUCGGGCCGCCGUCCCCCCGGUGGUCAUCCAACCAAACCCUGCAUCAAUUGUCGUCCGAGUCCAUUUGUUAAUACAAUCAAAACUUUCAACAACGGAUCUCUUGGUUCUGGCAUCGAUGAAGAACGCAGC
Molecule: unclassified non-coding RNA, 285 nt
Filed under: uncultured fungus
Lineage: Eukaryota; Fungi
Description: partial contains small subunit ribosomal RNA, internal transcribed spacer 1, and 5.8S ribosomal RNA
Rfam family: Eukaryotic small subunit ribosomal RNA (bases 1-73)
Source: RNAcentral